RNAcentral lists this ribosomal RNA (497 nucleotides) under uncultured bacterium. RNAcentral's name for it is "partial 16S ribosomal RNA". It matches the Rfam family "Bacterial small subunit ribosomal RNA", at positions 28 to 507 of the family's 1533-position model. The record is from RNAcentral.
GAUGAACGCUGGCGGCGUGCCUAACACAUGCAAGUCGAGCGAACACACGAGGAGCUUGCUCUUUUGACGUUAGCGGCGGACGGGUGAGUAACACGUGGGUAACCUACCUAUUAGACUGGGAUAACUUCGGGAAACCGGAGCUAAUACCGGCUAAUAUUUCGAACCGCAUGGUUCGAUAGUGAAAGAUGGCUUUGCCAUCACUUAUAGAUGGACCUGCGCCGUAUUAGCUAGUUGGUAAGGUAACGGCCUACCAAGGCAACGAUACGUAGCCGACCUGAGAGGGUGAUCGGCCACACUGGAACUGAGACACGGUCCAGACUCCUACGGGAGGCAGCAGUAGGGAAUCUUGCGCAAUGGGCGAAAGCCUGACGGAGCAACGCCGCGUGAGUGAUGAAGGUCUUCGGGUCGUAAAACUCUGUUAUUAGGAAAGAACAAACGUGUAAGUAACUGUGCACGUCUUGACGGUACCUAAUGAGAAAGCCACGGCUAACUACGUG